RNAcentral lists this long non-coding RNA (809 nucleotides) under Fukomys damarensis (Damara mole-rat). RNAcentral describes it as "lncRNA (ENSFDAG00000032133.1)". The record is from RNAcentral. Lineage: Eukaryota; Metazoa; Chordata; Mammalia; Rodentia; Bathyergidae.
AUUUACAAAGACUUGGUUUCCAUUUUUUCCUUUUCUCAUAUUUAUUCCUUUCCCUUCUUUCUUUUCCGCAAACCCUCUUACUUCCCAUUCCCUUUCUGACCUUUUUUCCAUGGAAGAGAAAUUGUAGCUAUGCUCUACUGACGCUUCUGAUUGAGCUCAUAGAUGACACACCAAUUUAGUUGAAAAGUUCUAGAAGUGCAGUCACUGAGCCAACAAUGGGGUGAGUAUGAAACACCAAUUCUCUGGAUGUUGGACAGUCAGUAGCCAGUUUCUUUAAAGUCAUUCCUUGCAUAUACUCCUUCAGAACUGCCAAAGACCAGGAGACGUUUUUUUUAAAUAUCAAAAUCAUCAAACAGAAAGUCAAUAUAUCUCUUCAAGGUCACAGUAUAUCACAUGCAGUCAGUUUGACUCCAGCAAAUACAAUGACUCUUCUUAAAGGUUGAAAGUGCCUCACAGAUCUGGUACUACAUCUGGCGCAUUUUGGGUAUUCCUAGGAUAUUUUUCCUCCAACUCAGAGGUGCCAGCUCUUCAAUGAAAAACAGGACAAUGCCUGGGAGAUGUCCUCAGUCCCUUGACACCCUUCGUGCUGAAGAUUUAUCUCUCCUCACACUUGACCUAAAGAGACGACUCCCUUUGUCCAGUUCACCAAUAUAUCUCACAUUCAAGAGGUGCUGGACAGUUCAUUUUUCCCCAAGCAAGACAAACUCAAAACAAUCAGCCCCCCCCAAAUAUAAAGACCCGAUUAAAAAAUGGGCAUCCAAAAUGAACAGACAUUUCUCAGACAAAGAAGUAAAAGCAGCAAGUAAAUA